This 539-nucleotide ribosomal RNA is filed under the name Staphylococcus sp. RNAcentral's name for it is "bacterial SSU rRNA". It matches the Rfam family "Bacterial small subunit ribosomal RNA", at positions 1 to 525 of the family's 1533-position model. Lineage: Bacteria; Bacillati; Bacillota; Bacilli; Caryophanales; Staphylococcaceae. The record is from RNAcentral.
UUGGAGAGUUUGAUCCUGGCUCAGGAUGAACGCUGGCGGCGUGCCUAAUACAUGCAAGUCGAGCGAACAGACGAGGAGCUUGCUCCUCUGACGUUAGCGGCGGACGGGUGAGUAACACGUGGAUAACCUACCUAUAAGACUGGGAUAACUUCGGGAAACCGGAGCUAAUACCGGAUAACAUGUUGAACCGCAUGGUUCAACAGUGAAAGACGGUCUUGCUGUCACUUAUAGAUGGAUCCGCGCCGCAUUAGCUAGUUGGUAAGGUAACGGCUUACCAAGGCAACGAUGCGUAGCCGACCUGAGAGGGUGAUCGGCCACACUGGAACUGAGACACGGUCCAGACUCCUACGGGAGGCAGCAGUAGGGAAUCUUCCGCAAUGGGCGAAAGCCUGACGGAGCAACGCCGCGUGAGUGAAGAAGGUCUUCGGAUCGUAAAACUCUGUUAUUAGGGAAGAACAAAUGUGUAAGUAACUAUGCACGUCUUGACGGUACCUAAUCAGAAAGCCACGGCUAACUACGUGCCAGCAGCCGCGGUAAUA